GGCCGUGUGGCGAAAUGGCAUCGCGUCUGACUACGACGAUGUAAUCAGGAGAUUGCAGGUUCGACCCCUGUCUCGGUCA
This is a non-coding RNA of Termitomyces sp. T32_za158, 79 nucleotides long. Lineage: Eukaryota; Fungi; Basidiomycota; Agaricomycetes; Agaricales; Lyophyllaceae. The record is from the annotation of a GenBank genome assembly.